UACGUAGGGGCGUAGCGUUAUCCGGAAUUACUGGGCGUAAAGGGCGUGUAGGCGGGUCGGCAAGUCGGGUGUGAAAUUUACAGGCUUAACCUGUAACGGUCAUCCGAAACUGCUGAUCUUGAGUGUCGGAGAGGAAAGUGGAAUUCCUAGUGUAGCGGUAAAAUGCGUAGAUAUUAGGAGGAACAUCAGUGGCGAAGGCGACUUUCUGGACGAUAACUGACGCUGAGGCGCGAAAGCGUGGGGAGGCAAACAGGAUUAGAUACCCUGGUAGUCCCUGAG
This 279-nucleotide ribosomal RNA is filed under the name uncultured prokaryote. RNAcentral's name for it is "partial 16S ribosomal RNA". It matches the Rfam family "Bacterial small subunit ribosomal RNA", at positions 524 to 801 of the family's 1533-position model. The record is from RNAcentral.